AUUGAACGCUGGCGGCAGGCCUAACACAUGCAAGUCGAACGGUAACAGGAAGAAGCUUGCUUCUAUGCUGACGAGUGGCGGACGGGUGAGUAAUGUCUGGGAAACUGCCUGAUGGAGGGGGAUAACUACUGGAAACGGUAGCUAAUACCGCAUAACGUCGCAAGACCAAAGAGGGGGACCUUCGGGCCUCUUGCCAUCGGAUGUGCCCAGAUGGGAUUAGCUAGUAGGUGGGGUAACGGCUCACCUAGGCGACGAUCCCUAGCUGGUCUGAGAGGAUGACCAGCCACACUGGAACUGAGACACGGUCCAGACUCCUACGGGAGGCAGCAGUGGGGAAUAUUGCACAAUGGGCGCAAGCCUGAUGCAGCCAUGCCGCGUGUAUGAAGAAGGCCUUCGGGUUGUAAAGUACUUUCAGCGGGGAGGAAGGGAGUAAAGUUAAUACCUUUGCUCAUUGACGUUACCCGCAGAAGAAGCACCGGCUAACUCCGUG
This 490-nucleotide ribosomal RNA is filed under the name uncultured bacterium. Its description in RNAcentral is "partial 16S ribosomal RNA". It matches the Rfam family "Bacterial small subunit ribosomal RNA", at positions 30 to 507 of the family's 1533-position model. The record is from RNAcentral.